GGGACGGGUGAGUAACACGUGGAUAACCUACCUAUAAGACUGGGAUAACUUCGGGAAACCGGAGCUAAUACCGGAUAAUAUAUUGAACCGCAUGGUUCAAUAGUGAAAGACGGUUUUGCUGUCACUUAUAGAUGGAUCCGCGCCGCAUUAGCUAGUUGGUAAGGUAACGGCUUACCAAGGCAACGAUGCGUAGCCGAUCUGAGAGGGUGAUCGGCCACACUGGAACUGAGACACGGUCCAG
This 241-nucleotide ribosomal RNA is filed under the name uncultured Staphylococcus sp. Its description in RNAcentral is "partial 16S ribosomal RNA". It matches the Rfam family "Bacterial small subunit ribosomal RNA", at positions 100 to 334 of the family's 1533-position model. The record is from RNAcentral. Lineage: Bacteria; Bacillati; Bacillota; Bacilli; Caryophanales; Staphylococcaceae.